RNAcentral lists this ribosomal RNA (253 nucleotides) under uncultured bacterium. RNAcentral's name for it is "partial 16S ribosomal RNA". It matches the Rfam family "Bacterial small subunit ribosomal RNA", at positions 524 to 776 of the family's 1533-position model. The record is from RNAcentral.
UACGUAGGUGGCAAGCGUUGUCCGGAAUUACUGGGUGUAAAGGGCGUGUAGGCGGGACUGCAAGUCAGAUGUGAAAAUCACAGGCUCAACCUGGGGGCUGCAUCUGAAACUGUGGUUCUUGAGUGCUGGAGAGGAAAGCGGAAUUCCUAGUGUAGCGGUGAAAUGCGUAGAUAUUAGGAGGAACACCAGUGGCGAAGGCGGCUUUCUGGACAGUAACUGACGCUGAGGCGCGAAAGCGUGGGGAGCUAACAGG